GUUUAACGAGACCAUUAUAUUUUUUCUUAUAUUCUAUUGUAAUUUGCAUACGUACUUCUCCAUUUCAAGAAAGGAACCCUAAAAAAGUAAAAUCUCACUCUUCCUGAAACUUCCCCAAUCAUCACGCCACAACCAAAACCAAUGAAAACCCCUUAAUCUGAUUGAUUUCUCAUUCGAUAUCUCUAACUCUCUCGAGUUGCUGUUUAAUCGAGUGUUUCUUGAUUCUUGAAACUCAAAUAUUUCAGCCUGCAAUUUUUUAAAGAUCAAUUUUUUCUUCACAGAUACUUGAAUACAUACAGAUUGAGCAGAAAGGAAAUAUGGGUGUUGGUUUAUCCGUGCUUAAUAAAGUCAGGGGCGGAUCUCUAUAUGUUAUUAAAGAGAGGCAAUUGCCCCACCUCAUGUUUUUCAUCCCAUCCCAGAGCUAGAGGCCGCCUCUGCUUAAAGUGUGCAACUUUAUUCAUCUUCUUCCUCUCCCUCCGAAUGUUCGAGUUCACUCUGCUAUCAAUCCCCUUCUUGUAUGCAUCUCUCGUCUCAUUCUUGGUUUCCAUCGCAUCCCAUCCCAUCCAUCAAUCAAUCUGCCGAUCCUCUUGGGCAAAGGGUCAGAUGGGAAUUUCCCAAUCUGGUCUCUGAUCAUAUACAGCCCUUACCUCUAUUUCGUGAGGGCUUUUUCCUUCAUCAGAGGGUUCACUAGUGGAGAGCCUCCAUAUAGCAAGAUUGAUGAGGGGUUGUAUGUUGGGGGGUGGCCUUAUGCCCCUGAUAAGCUGCCACCUGGCAACCCCGCGAUCGUUGAUUGCACGUGUGAGUUGCCGAGGAAGAGGGAGGUCACGGGGAGCGCGUACCUCUGUGUUCCCACGUGGGAUACGCGCUCCCCUGACCCGGGGGAGAUUGAGAGGGCUGUGAAAUGGGCUUGCGGGAAGCGGGCUCAGGGCGUCCCGGUUUUCGUGCAUUUUGCUUAUGGUCAUGGGCGAAGUGUGGCUGUAAUGUGUGCGCUGCUAGUUGCUCUUGGGUUGGCAGAAGAUUGGAAAACUGCGGAAAAGAUUAUCAAAGAGAAACGACCUUACAUCCGAAUGAACUCUCUUCACCGAAAAGCCUUGGAAGAAUGGUCCAAGGACAGGCUAUCCACCCCAAAAAGAUAAGGUAGAGAUGCAUGGAGUAGAUACUUCUAUUCUUCAUUUUAUCAUUGUAUUCUGAUACUACAAAAGUAAUUUCCCAAUUUCUGUUAAUCAUAUAAAUGUCCAGUGUCUCUCUCUCUCUCUCACACACACACAGAGAAGUAGUUCUCAACUGUAACUGUUUAAUGCCAACUAUAACUAUUUAAUAUAGUAGUGAUA
This is an RNA transcript of Salvia splendens (bonfire salvia), 1331 nucleotides long. It is a transcript of the gene named ferredoxin-like, with no coding region annotated. The record is from RefSeq and is a predicted model, not a curated record. NCBI's taxonomy places the organism in Eukaryota, Viridiplantae, Streptophyta, Magnoliopsida, Lamiales, Lamiaceae. The transcript has 3 exons.